RNAcentral lists this ribosomal RNA (462 nucleotides) under uncultured bacterium. RNAcentral's name for it is "partial 16S ribosomal RNA". It matches the Rfam family "Bacterial small subunit ribosomal RNA", at positions 338 to 795 of the family's 1533-position model. The record is from RNAcentral.
CCUACGGGAGGCUGCAGUGCGGAAUAUUGGUCAAUGGACGCAAGUCUGAACCAGCCACGUAGCGUGCAGGAUGACGGCCCUCCGGGUUGUAAACUGCUUUUAGUUGGGAAUAAAAGGGGGCUCGUGAGCCCCGUAUUGUAUGUACCAUCAGAAAAAGAACCGGCUAAUUCCGUGCCAGCAGCCGCGGUACUACGGAAGUUCCGGGCGUUAUCCGGAUUUAUUGGGUUUAAAGGGACCGUAGGCCGGCUUUUAAGUAGGCUGUGAAAGCCCGCGGCUCAACCGUGGAAUUGCAUUUGAAACUGGAGGCCUUGAGUGCACACAGGGAUGCUGGAAUUCAUGGUGUAGCGGUGAAAUGCGUAGAGAUCAUGAAGAACACCGAUCGCGAAGGCAAGUGUCCGGGGUGCAACUGACGCUGAGGCUCGAAAGUGUGGGUAUCAAACAGGAUUAGAUACCCCAGUAGUC